CUCCGAACUGUUUGAAUGUUUGGUUAAGUUGUGAAAAGAAAAGUAUGGUCAAACGAUUUUUAUCAAGACUUUUUAUUUGUAUGUGUUUAGAAGAAUUGGUCAAUAGAUAACUGAAUAUACAGAAAAAAUAACAGGGGUGGAAAGAAGCAAAGUGAAGUUAAAGGAGAAAAUAAUUACCGAGGA
Molecule: long non-coding RNA, 183 nt
Organism: Coccinella septempunctata (seven-spotted ladybird)
Lineage: Eukaryota; Metazoa; Arthropoda; Insecta; Coleoptera; Coccinellidae
Exons: 3
Source: RefSeq, a predicted model, not a curated record